Molecule: ribosomal RNA, 434 nt
Filed under: uncultured Oscillospiraceae bacterium
Lineage: Bacteria; Bacillati; Bacillota; Clostridia; Eubacteriales; Oscillospiraceae
Description: bacterial SSU rRNA
Rfam family: Bacterial small subunit ribosomal RNA
Source: RNAcentral
ACGGAAGGCAGCAGUGAGGGAUAUUGCACAAUGGGCGAAAGCCUGAUGCAGCAACGCCGCGUGAGGGAUGACGGUUUUCGGAUUGUAAACCUCUGUCUUCGGUGAAGAUAAUGACAUUAGCCGAGGAGGAAGCCACGGCUAACUACGUGCCAGCAGCCGCGGUAAUACGUAGGUGGCAAGCGUUGUCCGGAUUUACUGGGUGUAAAGGGAGCGCAGGCGGGAGAUCAAGUCAGUGGUGAAAUGCAUGGGCUUAACCCAUGAACUGCCAUUGAAACUGACCUUCUUGAGUGGAGUAGAGGCAAGCGGAAUUCCGAGUGUAGCGGUGAAAUGCGUAGAUAUUCGGAGGAACACCAGUGGCGAAGGCGGCUUGCUGGGCUUUUACUGACGCUGAGGCUCGAAAGUGUGGGGAGCAAACAGGAUUAGAUACCCUGGUA